RNAcentral lists this ribosomal RNA (520 nucleotides) under uncultured Glomus. RNAcentral's name for it is "SSU rRNA". It matches the Rfam family "Eukaryotic small subunit ribosomal RNA", at positions 569 to 1089 of the family's 1831-position model. Lineage: Eukaryota; Fungi; Glomeromycota; Glomeromycetes; Glomerales; Glomeraceae. The record is from RNAcentral.
AGCAGCCGCGGUAAUUCCAGCUCCAAUAGCGUAUAUUAAAGUUGUUGCAGUUAAAAAGCUCGUAGUUGAAUUUCGGGGUUAGUAAGUUGGUUGUGCCACUGGUAUGUACUGGCUUUACUGAUUCCUCCUUCUUGUAGAACCGUAAUGCCAUUAAGUUGGUGUUGCGGGGAAACAGGACUGUUACUUUGAAAAAAUUAGAGUGUUUAAAGCAAGCUAACGCUUGAAUACAUUAGCAUGGAAUAAUGAAAUAGGACGUUCGAUCCUAUUUUGUUGGUUUCUAGGAUUGACGUAAUGAUUAAUAGGGAUAGUUGGGGGCAUUAGUAUUCAAUUGUCAGAGGUGAAAUUCUUGGAUUUAUUGAAGACUAACUACUGCGAAAGCAUUUUGCCAAGGAUGCUUUCAUUAAUCAAGAACGAAAGUUAGGGGAUCGAAGACGAUCAGAUACCGUCGUAGUCUUAACCAUAAACUAUGCCGACUAGGGAUCGGAUGAUGUUAAUUUUAUAAUGACUCAUUCGGCGCCUU